GCGAAAGUAGCUCAGUUGGUAGAGCACAACCUUGCCAAGGUUGGGGUCGCGGGUUCGAGUCCCGUUUUUCGCU
This 73-nucleotide transfer RNA is filed under the name Breznakibacter xylanolyticus. RNAcentral describes it as "Cytophaga xylanolytica tRNA". It matches the Rfam family "tRNA". From Rfam's summary of the family: Transfer RNA (tRNA) molecules are approximately 80 nucleotides in length. Their secondary structure includes four short double-helical elements and three loops (D, anti-codon, and T loops). Further hydrogen bonds mediate the characteristic L-shaped molecular structure. tRNAs have two regions of fundamental functional importance: the anti-codon, which is responsible for specific mRNA codon recognition, and the 3' end, to which the tRNAs corresponding amino acid is attached (by aminoacyl-tRNA synthetases). tRNAs cope with the degeneracy of the genetic code in two manners: having more than one tRNA (with a specific anti-codon) for a particular amino acid; and 'wobble' base-pairing, i.e. permitting non-standard base-pairing at the 3rd anti-codon position. Lineage: Bacteria; Pseudomonadati; Bacteroidota; Bacteroidia; Marinilabiliales; Marinilabiliaceae. The record is from Rfam by way of RNAcentral. RNAcentral also lists the same sequence under 1 other name.